RNAcentral lists this ribosomal RNA (137 nucleotides) under uncultured eukaryote. RNAcentral's name for it is "partial 18S ribosomal RNA". It matches the Rfam family "Eukaryotic small subunit ribosomal RNA", at positions 1299 to 1458 of the family's 1831-position model. The record is from RNAcentral.
UGGUGGAGUGAUUUGUCUGGUUAAUUCCGAUAACGAACGAGACCUUAACCUGCUAAAUAGAAACGCGAACCUGCGUUCGUGCGUUCUUCUUAGAGGGACUGACUACGUUUAGUGGUCGGAAGUUUGAGGCAAUAACA